Molecule: ribosomal RNA, 253 nt
Filed under: uncultured bacterium
Lineage: Bacteria
Description: partial 16S ribosomal RNA
Rfam family: Bacterial small subunit ribosomal RNA
Source: RNAcentral
GACGGGGGAUGCAAGUGUUAUCCGGAAUCACUGGGCGUAAAGCGUCUGCAGGUGGUUUCCUAAGUCCACUGUUAAACCUUGAGGCUCAACCUCAAAUCUGCAUUGGAAACUAGGAGGCUUGAGUAUAGUAGGGGUAGAGGGAAUUUCCAGUGGAGCGGUGAAAUGCGUAGAUAUUGGAAAGAACACCGAUGGCGAAGGCACUCUACUGGGCUAUUACUGACACUCAGAGACGAAAGCUAGGGGAGCAAAUGGG